GUGGGGAAUAUUGGACAAUGGGCGAAAGCCUGAUCCAGCCAUGCCGCGUGUGUGAAGAAGGUCUUCGGAUUGUAAAGCACUUUAAGUUGGGAGGAAGGGCAGUAAGUUAAUACCUUGCUGUUUUGACGUUACCGACAGAAUAAGCACCGGCUAACUUCGUGCCAGCAGCCGCGGUAAUACGAAGGGUGCAAGCGUUAAUCGGAAUUACUGGGCGUAAAGCGCGCGUAGGUGGUUUUGUAAGUUGGCGGUGAAAUCCCCGGGCUCAACCUGGGAACUGCAUCCAAAACUGCAUGACUAGAGGACGGUAGAGGGUAGUGGAAUUUCCUGUGUAGCGGUGAAAUGCGUAGAUAUAGGAAGGAACACCAGUGGCGAAGGCGACUACCUGGACUGAUACUGACACUGAGGUGCGAAAGCGUGGGGAGCAAACAGGAUUAGAUACCCGGGUAGUCC
This 450-nucleotide ribosomal RNA is filed under the name uncultured bacterium. RNAcentral's name for it is "partial 16S ribosomal RNA". It matches the Rfam family "Bacterial small subunit ribosomal RNA", at positions 354 to 796 of the family's 1533-position model. The record is from RNAcentral.